Molecule: ribosomal RNA, 301 nt
Filed under: uncultured bacterium
Lineage: Bacteria
Description: partial 16S ribosomal RNA
Rfam family: Bacterial small subunit ribosomal RNA
Source: RNAcentral
CAGUAGCCGCGGGAAUACGUAGGGUGCGAGCGUUAAUCGGAAUUACUGGGCGUAAAGCGUGCGUAGGUGGUGGUUUAAGUCCGUUGUGAAAGCCCUGGGCUCAACCUGGGAAUUGCAGUGGAUACUGGGUCACUAGAGUGUGGUAGAGGAUAGUGGAAUUUCCGGUGUAGCAGUGAAAUGCGUAGAGAUCGGGAGGAACAUCAGUGGCGAAGGCGGCCAUCUGGGACAACACUGACGCUGAGGCACGAAAGCGUGGGGAGCAAACAGGAUUAGAUACCCCCGUAGUCCCUGUCUCUUAUAC